UAAUAAUCACAUUGUUUUUAUCUGCGAGAGUCUCCAACUUACUAAUCACUGUUUUUUCCUCUUCAAGGGGGGUACUUGCUAGUUAGAGGAGAUUAAAGGAUGAGUUGAAUAACUAGAUGUAGAUGGAAAUAAUGGCUACAUCAUUUUGUUGAUUAUAAAAUUAAAUGGUAGACUAUUUACACAAAUAAAAUUAUUUUCAGUGUUCAUAUUUUAGUAAGAAUGCAGAGAAAGAGAGAUAGAAAAGUAGUUGAAUAUUUUGAAAUAAUUGAUAAGAGAACUUAUUUUCCAACACAAUAGGUGAUUUUCCUUGAGAUUUAUUGUCUGUGGAUUUUAAAAACAAUAGCAUCUAAAGAUUUGGAUGGUUGAUUGAGCGCAUAGUUCUUGGUAAGAUGAGUAAUAGAUAUGUUUUGGAUUUGGAGGGGAAUGGUUAGAACAUUCAGAUACUAUGCUGGAAGUGACUCAAUGGUCACCCAACUCUGUCACCGGGUUGAAUUAAGCUGUAUUUUUCUAAUCGGUCAAUGUGAAAAUGUUUAUAUUAUAUACGCAUAUGUAUUAUACCAUAUUCAUAUUAAAAAUUAAGUAAGUUUGCAUGAAAGGAUUACAUUUAUUGGCUUUAUUAUGAUUACUUAAAAGGUAUAUUAUGGUUUGUGGUUGGUGGUUAAUGAUGUAAUUGGUGAAGGUGUCAAAAGGGUCUUGUUUGUCGGGCUGCUCCUCAGCGUAUCAAAAUUUGACUUCAGGUCGUUGUCAUGCGCCAAAGUGCUUGUUUUGGCUCUAAUGUGUCUUUUUCUCGUCUGAAAUAGACUUUUGCGAUAGCUUUAAGCAAUGGUGGGGAGUGUACAAGAUAUGAUUCAGAUUUGGCUUGUAGAAUGCAGCAAAAAUUAACCAUAACACAGUGAACUUUCUUACGGAAGAUUUUUAAAGUUACGGGGAAAUUGCUUGGAAGAAAGCAAGAGAAGUUUGGUUAGAUACCUGACAGAAAUGAAUCUGUAUAGAUACUCUUUUUUUCUUUCUUCUCACUGCAAUAUCUGCAAAUUCUUGAUAAAGAUUAUUUCUUUGUUUUAUUUCAAUGAUUGCCAAUUCAAAAUUUAGU
This 1090-nucleotide small RNA is filed under the name Vigna angularis var. angularis. Its description in RNAcentral is "Non-protein coding transcript". The record is from RNAcentral. Lineage: Eukaryota; Viridiplantae; Streptophyta; Magnoliopsida; Fabales; Fabaceae.